GGGUUGUGAGGUUAAGCGACUAAGCGUACACGGUGGAUGCCCUGGCAGUCAGAGGCGAUGAAGGACGUGCUAAUCUGCGAUAAGCGUCGGUAAGGUGAUAUGAACCGUUAUAACCGGCGAUUUCCGAAUGGGGAAACCCAGUGUGAUUCGUCACACUAUCAUUAACUGAAUCCAUAGGUUAAUGAGGCGAACCGGGGGAACUGAAACAUCUAAGUACCCCGAGGAAAAGAAAUCAACCGAGAUUCCCCCAGUAGCGGCGAGCGAACGGGGAGCAGCCCAGAGCCUGAAUCAGUGUGUGUGUUAGUGGAAGCGUCUGGAAAGGCGCGCGAUACAGGGUGACAGCCCCGUACACAAAAAUGCACAUAUUGUGAGCUCGAUGAGUAGGGCGGGACACGUGGUAUCCUGUCUGAAUAUGGGGGGCCCAUCCUCCAAGGCUAAAUACUCCUGACUGACCGAUAGUGAACCAGUACCGUGAGGGAAAGGCGAAAAGAACCCCGGCGAGGGGAGUGAAAAAGAACCUGAAACCGUGUACGUACAAGCAGUGGGAGCACGCUUAGGCGUGUGACUGCGUACCUUUUGUAUAAUGGGUCAGCGACUUAUAUUCUGUAGCAAGGUUAACCGAAUAGGGGAGCCGAAGGGAAACCGAGUCUUAACUGGGCGUUAAGUUGCAGGGUAUAGACCCGAAACCCGGUGAUCUAGCCAUGGGCAGGUUGAAGGUUGGGUAACACUAACUGGAGGACCGAACCGACUAAUGUUGAAAAAUUAGCGGAUGACUUGUGGCUGGGGGUGAAAGGCCAAUCAAACCGGGAGAUAGCUGGUUCUCCCCGAAAGCUAUUUAGGUAGCGCCUCGUGAAUUCAUCUCCGGGGGUAGAGCACUGUUUCGGCAAGGGGGUCAUCCCGACUUACCAACCCGAUGCAAACUGCGAAUACCGGAGAAUGUUAUCACGGGAGACACACGGCGGGUGCUAACGUCCGUCGUGAAGAGGGAAACAACCCAGACCGCCAGCUAAGGUCCCAAAGUCAUGGUUAAGUGGGAAACGAUGUGGGAAGGCCCAGACAGCCAGGAUGUUGGCUUAGAAGCAGCCAUCAUUUAAAGAAAGCGUAAUAGCUCACUGGUCGAGUCGGCCUGCGCGGAAGAUGUAACGGGGCUAAACCAUGCACCGAAGCUGCGGCAGCGACGCUUAUGCGUUGUUGGGUAGGGGAGCGUUCUGUAAGCCUGCGAAGGUGUGCUGUGAGGCAUGCUGGAGGUAUCAGAAGUGCGAAUGCUGACAUAAGUAACGAUAAAGCGGGUGAAAAGCCCGCUCGCCGGAAGACCAAGGGUUCCUGUCCAACGUUAAUCGGGGCAGGGUGAGUCGACCCCUAAGGCGAGGCCGAAAGGCGUAGUCGAUGGGAAACAGGUUAAUAUUCCUGUACUUGGUGUUACUGCGAAGGGGGGGACGGAGAAGGCUAUGUUGGCCGGGCGACGGUUGUCCCGGUUUAAGCGUGUAGGCUGGUUUUCCAGGCAAAUCCGGAAAAUCAAGGCUGAGGCGUGAUGACGAGGCACUACGGUGCUGAAGCAACAAAUGCCCUGCUUCCAGGAAAAGCCUCUAAGCAUCAGGUAACAUCAAAUCGUACCCCAAACCGACACAGGUGGUCAGGUAGAGAAUACCAAGGCGCUUGAGAGAACUCGGGUGAAGGAACUAGGCAAAAUGGUGCCGUAACUUCGGGAGAAGGCACGCUGAUAUGUAGGUGAAGUCCCUUGCGGAUGGAGCUGAAAUCAGUCGAAGAUACCAGCUGGCUGCAACUGUUUAUUAAAAACACAGCACUGUGCAAACACGAAAGUGGACGUAUACGGUGUGACGCCUGCCCGGUGCCGGAAGGUUAAUUGAUGGGGUCAGCGCAAGCGAAGCUCUUGAUCGAAGCCCCGGUAAACGGCGGCCGUAACUAUAACGGUCCUAAGGUAGCGAAAUUCCUUGUCGGGUAAGUUCCGACCUGCACGAAUGGCGUAAUGAUGGCCAGGCUGUCUCCACCCGAGACUCAGUGAAAUUGAACUCGCUGUGAAGAUGCAGUGUACCCGCGGCAAGACGGAAAGACCCCGUGAACCUUUACUAUAGCUUGACACUGAACAUUGAGCCUUGAUGUGUAGGAUAGGUGGGAGGCUUUGAAGUGUGGACGCCAGUCUGCAUGGAGCCGGCCUUGAAAUACCACCCUUUAAUGUUUGAUGUUCUAACGUGGACCCGUGAUCCGGGUUGCGGACAGUGUCUGGUGGGUAGUUUGACUGGGGCGGUCUCCUCCUAAAGAGUAACGGAGGAGCACGAAGGUUGGCUAAUCCUGGUCGGACAUCAGGAGGUUAGUGCAAUGGCAUAAGCCAGCUUGACUGCGAGCGUGACGGCGCGAGCAGGUGCGAAAGCAGGUCAUAGUGAUCCGGUGGUUCUGAAUGGAAGGGCCAUCGCUCAACGGAUAAAAGGUACUCCGGGGAUAACAGGCUGAUACCGCCCAAGAGUUCAUAUCGACGGCGGUGUUUGGCACCUCGAUGUCGGCUCAUCACAUCCUGGGGCUGAAGUAGGUCCCAAGGGUAUGGCUGUUCGCCAUUUAAAGUGGUACGCGAGCUGGGUUUAGAACGUCGUGAGACAGUUCGGUCCCUAUCUGCCGUGGGCGCUGGAGAACUGAGGGGGGGCUGCUCCUAGUACGAGAGGACCGGAGUGGACGCAUCACUGGUGUUCGGGUUGUCAUGCCAAUGGCACUGCCCGGUAGCUAAAUGCGGAAGAGAUAAGUGCUGAAAGCAUCUAAGCACGAAACUUGCCCCGAGAUGAGUUCUCCCUGACCCUUUAAGGGUCCUGAAGGAACGUUGAAGACGACGACGUUGAUAGGCCGGGUGUGUAAGCGCAGCGAUGCGUUGAGCUAACCGGUACUAAUGAACCGUGAGGCUUAACCUUACAACGCCGAAG
Molecule: ribosomal RNA, 2927 nt
Filed under: Shigella sonnei
Lineage: Bacteria; Pseudomonadati; Pseudomonadota; Gammaproteobacteria; Enterobacterales; Enterobacteriaceae
Description: 23S ribosomal RNA
Rfam family: Bacterial large subunit ribosomal RNA
Source: RNAcentral